GACGAACGCUGGCGGCGUGCCUAAUACAUGCAAGUAGAACGCUGAAGAGAGGAGCUUGCUCUUCUUGGAUGAGUUGCGAACGGGUGAGUAACGCGUAGGUAACCUGCCUGGUAGCGGGGGAUAACUAUUGGAAACGAUAGCUAAUACCGCAUAAAAUGGAUUAUCGCAUGAUAAUCCAUUGAAAGGUGCAAAUGCAUCACUACCAGAUGGACCUGCGUUGUAUUAGCUAGUUGGUGGGGUAACGGCUCACCAAGGCGACGAUACAUAGCCGACCUGAGAGGGUGAUCGGCCACACUGGGACUGAGACACGGCCCAGACUCCUACGGGAGGCAGCAGUAGGGAAUCUUCGGCAAUGGACGGAAGUCUGACCGAUCAACGCCGCGUGAGUGAAGAAGGUUUUCGGAUCGUAAAGCUCUGUUGUAAGAGAAGAACGAGUGUGAGAGUGGAAAGUUCACACUGUGACGGUAUCUUACCAGAAAGGGACGGCUAACUACGUG
Molecule: ribosomal RNA, 497 nt
Filed under: uncultured bacterium
Lineage: Bacteria
Description: partial 16S ribosomal RNA
Rfam family: Bacterial small subunit ribosomal RNA
Source: RNAcentral